RNAcentral lists this ribosomal RNA (760 nucleotides) under uncultured bacterium. Its description in RNAcentral is "bacterial SSU rRNA". It matches the Rfam family "Bacterial small subunit ribosomal RNA", at positions 28 to 776 of the family's 1533-position model. The record is from RNAcentral.
AUUGAACGCUGGCGGCAGGCUUAACACAUGCAAGUCGGACGGUAACAGGAGGAAAGCUUGCUUUCUUUGCUGACGAGUGGCGGACGGGUGAGUAAUGCUUGGGAAUCUGUUUUAUGGAGGGGGAUAACUACGGGAAACUGUAGCUAAUACCGCGUAAUAUCGAGAGAUUAAAGUGUGGGACCGUAAGGCCACACGCCAUAGAGUGAGCCCAAGUGGGAUUAGGUAGUUGGUGGGGUAAAGGCCUACCAAGCCGUCGAUCUCUAGCUGGUCUGAGAGGAUGACCAGCCACACUGGGACUGAGACACGGCCCAGACUCCUACGGGAGGCAGCAGUGGGGAAUAUUGCACAAUGGGCGCAAGCCUGAUGCAGCCAUGCCGCGUGAAUGAAGAAGGCCUUCGGGUUGUAAAGUUCUUUCGGUGGUGAGGAAGGUUGUAAUGUUAAUAGCAUUAUAAUUUGACGUUAGCCACAGAAGAAGCACCGGCUAACUCCGUGCCAGCAGCCGCGGUAAUACGGAGGGUGCGAGCGUUAAUCGGAAUAACUGGGCGUAAAGGGCACGCAGGCGGAUACUUAAGUGAGGUGUGAAAGCCCUGGGCUUAACCUAGGAAUUGCAUUUCAUACUGGGUAUCUAGAGUAUUUUAGGGAGGGGUAGAAUUCCACGUGUAGCGGUGAAAUGCGUAGAGAUGUGGAGGAAUACCGAAGCGAAGGCAGCCCCUUGGGGGAAUACUGACGCUCAUGUGCGAAAGCGUGGGGAGCAAACAGG